UUAGCGUUCUCGGCCUUUUGGCUAAGAUCAAGUGUAGUAUCUGUUCUUAUCAGUUUAAUUAGCAUUUUUAAGGAUAUGGGGUGGGCUGAAUGAAGAUGGUUUGGAUAAAUAAUUGAUUCUAUAUUUAUUGUCAGCUGCUAGGAUGCUUAUUGUAAGAAAAUGGAUGUUUUGGCCUACAACUCCCAUGAUCCCUA
Molecule: small nuclear RNA, 194 nt
Organism: Lacerta agilis (Sand lizard)
Lineage: Eukaryota; Metazoa; Chordata; Lepidosauria; Squamata; Lacertidae
Product: U2 spliceosomal RNA
Exons: 1
Source: RefSeq, a predicted model, not a curated record